This 2215-nucleotide long non-coding RNA is filed under the name Selaginella moellendorffii. RNAcentral's name for it is "long non-coding RNA (SMOE_LNC001025)". Lineage: Eukaryota; Viridiplantae; Streptophyta; Lycopodiopsida; Selaginellales; Selaginellaceae. The record is from RNAcentral.
ACGCCGGAAGAUACGAUGGAAUCCCCCCCGAGAAGAUUGGGAACAAGAAAACUACAGAGCUAAUUGGAGGAUUCAUACCUUAUGAACAAACUCUCUUCGACACCAUUGCUAGCAUCCGUGAACGAGGUUUUCUGCCAUGAAAAUGAACUUAAGGACUAUUGCUAUAGAUCUGUAUGAAAACGAAAAUGAAUGAAUGUGCAUAUUGGUUUGCAAAAGAUAAAGACUCUCAACUCCACUUUAGGAGUGAAGUUAACGCACUUAACCUUCUUUCUCUUAAGUUCCUGCUUCCUCAAAGAGAACGCAGCUCUUAUAUUUUGCUCUUGUUAUGGAAUUGUCCAAGUGAGUUGGAUGCCCUAGUGGAGUGCGACGUGUUAGUGUUCGGAGGAUGUAAAAAUAAGAGAAGAUUGAAAAUUGAACCCUCCCUUGCUGCUACCGUCGCACCAGCCAUUCUAACCUGAAAUUAGUAUAGUAGCUGAAGAGCAUAUUGCUACUUUACAAAAACUCCACCAACAUGUCUCAUUUAGCCACAAUAAAUAAGGUAAAUAGCACGCUUAAUAGCGUCCCCAUCUAUCUAUAAAAAAUCAAUUAAGUUAAACAGUAGCCUAGAGACCGGCGCCACAGUGCUCCAGUUGCGACGCCACAGCGCUCCAGGAUGCUUCCUCAGAAGGCAAGCGGAAAUUCUUGAAGACUUGAUAGAGUGUAUAAAUACACAGCAGCGCAAGCUAGAGCAAAUAAGUAGCAAAAAGAGCAAAGAGCAUGGCAAUGGAAGAAAGCAAGAAGGUCGUGUGUGUGACUGGAGCCGGGGGUUUCAUUGCCUCUUGGAUUGUAAAGCAGCUUCUGGAGAAAGGCUAUACUGUUCACGGCACCGUGCGCGACCCAAGUAAGCAUAGACUUCUCCCUUUUACCUUUGAUCCAUAGCCGAAAUCUGAAUGACCCAAUCAUCAGGUAACAAUGCGAAGUGUGGACAUCUCAAGCAGCUCCCAGGAGCUGGGGAGAGGCUCAAGCUGUUCAAAGCCGAUGUUCUCGACUACGAUUCCAUUGUCCCGGCAGUCCGGGGCUGUGAGGCCGUCUUCCACACAGCCUGCCCCUUCUUCUGGAAGUUUGACACCCCAGAUGUAAGAAUCUAGCUGGUUUUGCUCGUGGGCGAUGAGAAAUUUCGAGUUUUGUUUUCUGUCAGGAUGUGUUGGUCCCGGCAAUCACUGGAACGGAGAAUGUGAUGCGUGCUUGCAGCGAGGAGAAGAUCAAGCGAGUGGUGAUGACUUCCUCCGGCGCAGCGGUCAUGUUUGACCCCGAUCGUCCCGAGGACAAGGUGGUUGAUGAGCGCUGCUGGACGAACGUUGACCACUGCCGCAAAAACGAGGCAAGUAAAUGGGACUUGCUUUGGACUUAAUUUAACUCUUGACUCUUGUGCGUUGGACUUCGUUUUGCAGCGGUGGUACUUGGUUGCCAAGACCGAGGCGGAGAAGACAGCAUGGAAGUUUGCCGAAGAGAAAGGGCUCAAACUUCUCGUGGUGUGCCCGGUUUACGUGUUUGGUCCUCUCUUGCAACAAACCCUCAACACUAGCAGCGAAUAUCUCAAGGAAGUUGUAGAAGGUUUGACUGUUGUUUCCUUGGUUUUCUCGCACAGACAUUUAUCUUGUUUGUGAUAAUCUAGGUUCCCGGAAUCCUUCGCCAAGUUCUUACAUUCCUCUCGUGGACGUGAGAGAUGUUGCAAAAGCUCACAUUUUGGCAGUCGAGAACGAGGCUGCUUUGGGGCGCUACUUUUGCGUUGCACUGAGCGUUUCCCACAGAGACGUCCUGAAAUUGGUCAAGGAAAAGUUCCCUGAGCUUCGCUGCUGUGCCCACGAGUGAGUUUACUUUCAUUCCUUUUUGUUCAGUUUUGUUCAAAGCGUAAUGAGAUUUGUAUGGGUAGGGGUGUUUCUGAAACGAGCAUUGGAAUUCCUCAUGCCGGAAGAUACGAUGGAAUCCCCCCCGAGAAGAUUGGGAACAAGAAAACUACAGAGCUAAUUGGAGGAUUCAUACCUUAUGAACAAACUCUCUUCGACACCAUUGCUAGCAUCCGUGAACGAGGUUUUCUGCCAUGAAAAUGAAAGAACUCAAGGACUAUUGCUAUAGAUCUGUAUGAAAACGAAAAUGAAUGAAUGUGCGUAUUGGUUUGCAAAUUAUAAAGACUCUCAACUCCACUUUACGCACUUAACCUGCUUUCUCUUAAGUU